Molecule: long non-coding RNA, 705 nt
Filed under: Rattus norvegicus (Norway rat)
Lineage: Eukaryota; Metazoa; Chordata; Mammalia; Rodentia; Muridae
Description: long non-coding RNA NONRATT008016
Source: RNAcentral
CACAUCCUAAAUAAAUAAAUAAAAUAUGUUUUAAAGAAAAUAAUAAUUUUAGAAUAGGUUUCACACAUCAGGGCUCUCUCUGGCUAAGGGGUGCCCACCCUACAGACUGACACCUGCCUCCUUACCCCAGUUAAUCACCUUGGGGGAGAUGAGCCUGAGAGAGUGGUUCAGAUACCAAGUGGGCAAGCUCAGAUGUUCCAGUGGUGAGGACGUGCCUAGGCAGGGACUUGGGGGUGGCCUGAUCCUUCCUCUUGUCCCCACAGAAGGCAAAACAAGGCUGUAAACAUUUCGUCUGCUCUUCAGGUGAGUGCCCAGUUCGUUUUCUUUCCCUUCCUACCCUGUUCUGUGUGUCCUGUGGCCCAGCACCAGGCAUUCUCCCUGGACUCUGGGCUCUGCAACAACACAUCCAUUCGUAGUCGUCCAGAUUUGGGGUUCCAGAAUGAGGCAGAAGUCACUCUGGAGAUGAGCAGCCCCACGUGAGGUCCCAGGCCCUCCUUCCUGAUACACCCUCUCCACUGACAGCGGGCAACGCGGGCAUGGCGACUGCCUAUGCUGCCAGGAGGCUGGGCCUCCCAGCCACUAUUGUUGUGCCAAGCACCACACCUGCCCUCACCAUUGAGCGGCUGAAGAACGAAGGGGCCACAGUUGAAGUGGUGGGAGAGAUGCUGGAUGAGGCCAUCCAACUGGCCAAGGCUCUGGAAAAGA